CCUACGGGAGGCAGCAGUAGGGAAUCUUCCACAAUGGGCGAAAGCCUGAUGGAGCAACGCCGCGUGGGUGAAGAAGGUCUUCGGAUCGUAAAACCCUGUUGUUAGAGAAGAAAGUGCGUGAGAGUAACUGUUCACGUUUCGACGGUAUCUAACCAGAAAGCCACGGCUAACUACGUGCCAGCAGCCGCGGUAAAACGUAGGUGGCAAGCGUUAUCCGGAUUUAUUUGGCGUAAAGGGAACGCAGGCGGUCUUUUAAGUCUGAUGUGAAAGCCUUCGGCUUAACCGGAGUAGUGCAUUGGAAACUGGGAGACUUGAGUGCAGAAGAGGAGAGUGGAACUCCAUGUGUAGCGGUGAAAUGCGUAGAUAUAUGGAAGAACACCAGUGGCGAAAGCGGCUCUCUGGUCUGUAACUGACGCUGAGGUUCGAAAGCGUGGGUAGCAAACAGGAUUAGAUACCCCUGUAGUC
This 465-nucleotide ribosomal RNA is filed under the name uncultured bacterium. Its description in RNAcentral is "partial 16S ribosomal RNA". It matches the Rfam family "Bacterial small subunit ribosomal RNA", at positions 338 to 795 of the family's 1533-position model. The record is from RNAcentral.